RNAcentral lists this long non-coding RNA (7721 nucleotides) under Homo sapiens (human). Its description in RNAcentral is "HSALNT0364188". The record is from RNAcentral. Lineage: Eukaryota; Metazoa; Chordata; Mammalia; Primates; Hominidae.
AGACCCUGUCUUUAUUUAAAAUUAAGGAAAAAUAAAGAUACGAUACUGUAUGCAGAUUUAAAUCAUUUUGAGCAAGUCGUAUUUUCUUGCCACCUUGGAAGAGUCAAUUAACAUUUAUUGCUGGCCACAUGGCAGACAAUAUGCUCAAUGCUUCAUGGGCAUUAUCUCAUUUCUGUUUUAAAUUACAAAAUGAAGUCUAUGGAUGUUGAAAAUUUUGAAAGAUAUAGAAAAACACAGGAUAAAAAUUGAGAGGCUCUCGUCUCUUCUGCCUUCCCUUACCUUCUCUCUCACUGCUCUCUUUCCCUACAGCUUACCCUAGUGGUACAUGUAUGGUUGUGUGCCGGAUAUGUAUGUGUGUGUUUGUGGGUAGCUGUGUGUACAUACACACAUAACCAUACAAACAAGACCAUAGCUAUUUAUUGUAUUAAGACUUUUCCCCCCUUUUUAAUAGUGUAAUUUGGAUAUUUUCCUGCCUUCUACCAAAUACAUAAAUAUCAUGUUUCUUAAUACUCUUAAUAGUCUAUUCCAUAGUUUAGACUGUAUUUAACAACUCCCUUAUCAUUAGAUAUUUAGGCUUGUCCAGCUUUUUGCUAUCACAAACAGGGAUCUUGGUGUAUAUGUGAAUGUUGGCAGCAGGUUAGCAGAGCACCAGAAGUGGGACUACUGGUCAAACCUUUGCACAAAAAUCAUACAGCCUCUAAUAGCAUUUCCCAGAGAAGAAAAGGGCCUUGUCUGGAACACAGAUCAAGAACUCUUAACUUUUUCUGAUCCAUGCUUUACAUUGCCACUUGAUAAAUACUACAUGUCAUCUCUAAGUACCACUAAAUCUCCCAUCUGGAGAGAUGGGACACUCUCCUUUAUACCUUUGAUGACUUUACUACCCAUGAUAAAAGCAGGAGAUCCCACCUUCCAGCUGCCCCUUCUUAAACAUCUAACUCUGUGCAAGUCCCAACCCUCAUUUAAUCACUUUGCUACUUCAUUGCAUUCAUCACACCAACUUGCAGUUAUUUGUACAGUUGUUCAUCUUCCAUUAGACUGAGCCCUCUGAGGGCAGGAAAUAUUUUUCAUUCUUCUUGGAACUUCCUUUUCCUAACAUAGUGUCUGAGAUGCUCAAUAAACUUUUUUUUGAGUGAAUAAAAAAUAAAUGAGGGAGUAGAAUACCUAGAUGAAUUCAGUUAUAAAAUGGCUCCAGGUACUGAAAUUGUCCAUUUUCAUUUUUAUGUUUUUGCAAUAAGAAAGAUGAACAUGCAUCUCCCCUAGUGCUACUUUUUUCAAAACUAAAUAUUCUAAUUCCAAGGCUUUAUUUCCGUCAAAUAACUACCACUUCCAAAUUCUUCUGUUAUUUUUAUUGUUCUCCAGGAUCUCUCCAUCUCAAUCAUGUCAUACAUUGGAAACAAUUCUCUGACACUUCAUCUAUAUACAAUCAACACUUUGUUAGGCUCUUGUAGCUGCCUCAUUUUUUGUAACACAAUAGAAUACUUGCCUUAAUAAUAAAUUAUAUUUGCCUUACAGUAUGGCUUAUUAGAUACCCAAAAUGUUUUCUGCCAUGCUUUCGAAAUGUUUUGACUGCAUGACAUUCUAUGGUGUUAAAAUUCCCCAAAAUGAAUGAUUUAUACUGCAUUUGCCUUAAUUGGAAUCUAUCCUGUUUUCAUCUUUCCUACUUUGACAGUCAUCUCAAUGUAAAUCCUGUGUCAGAGGUGCUUAUCUGUCUCUUUGCUACUUUUCUUUGAAAACUAAACAUAAACACAAGAAAUUUCACAUAGUAAAACUAGUAAGAUCUGGGUUUAUAAAUAUAAAUGGUGCAUCUGUGGCGGCAGAGCUCUGUCUCCAACUUCUUGGAGAUAAACAAGUUCAUAGUUAGAAAUGCUCUAGAAGUAAACAGGAAACCUGCUACACAAAUUGUGAAAUAUAAGUAUGUUUUAUAGAAGUCCUGAAAUUGUAUUUUUCAACAAGUUAAAACAGAAAAACCUAACACUACCAUAUCCAUUAAAUAUUAAUUCUCUCUUCCUCAAAUGUUUUACUCAUAUCUAUGCCUGUCCCUUUGGAACAUUUUUCAGUCAAAUUCAUAACACUGUCUUGAUUCCAAGCCUCAGGAGAACAUUUGAAUGAAAUUUUCAAAUGCUUCAAUUUUUAUAUCAUCCAAUGUGGAAUUCACAUUUACUGAGCACCUGCAAUGAGCUAGGAUCUGUACUACAUACUUUUAAAAAUACAUUAUUUUUCCUAAGAAAGUUCUGAGGUAGAUAUAUUAUUUUACAGAUGAGGAAACAGAGGUUCAGAGAGGUUAACUGACUUCACAAAAGUCAUAGAGCUACUAGGUAACAGAGCUCAUUGAACAUGGAGCUAGGAUUCAACCCUGGAUCGCCGUGAAGCCAUUUUGUUUCCAUGACAUCAUGACAUUGGUUAUAACACCACAAUUGUUUAGAAUAUAAGGCUUGUUUAGAAUGCAAGGCUUCCUCAAUUCUCCACCCUUCCCCUCUUGACAUCUUGCUCUUCUUCCCUUCAUCUAUUGUGUUAGUCAGGUGCAUGCUGGUCUUCCCUCUAUCAAACUGUAAGCUACUUGGAGACUUGGGAUGCCUCACUCAUCUCUAUUCCCAAACCUCAGGGUCUAUCAUUCUACCUUCUGUAUAGACAGGACUUUCAUAGUUUUGAACAAGUCAGAACCUGAAAGAAUUUGCUUCCAGAACAGGACAUUGACAGGAAAAUUAAGCAUGAUCAUGCCGAGUAAAAUAGGAAUAAGAAUUGGACCUACCUCAAGAUCUGUUGAGAAGAUUAUGAGAGAGCUGAUGGAUCUAAAAGAUUGGCGCUUGAUAGAAUUGGGAUCAUUUGUUUUGACUAGAACAAUCUCUUGCAGCUUGGAUGGAGAAACUUUACAGAGGUUUCAGCCAAACACUCAUGAAUUCUUUAAUGUGUGAAAUAAAUUUGUACAACGAAAGGCUAAAAAUUUGGGAGAUGCAGGAUGACUGAAGCCCGAUUCUGGGGGUUGUUACAGCACAGUUACAGGGUAAGUUUUUUCCAUUGUUAUUUGCUGGAAAAUUUAUUCUCCAUCUCCUUUAGUCUGUGCCUGAAUUUUGUGGGACUUGCUCGAGAAUGGUAUUCAUGCUUUAAAUCCAAGAGCCAGGAAUCAUCGCAUUUCAACAAUUUUCCUAUUUAUUUUAACCAAAACAGAGCUGGUUUCUAUAACUCAAUUUAAGAAAUUAUCCUCUUUGAUACAAUCUACUUAUGUUUGAUUGAUUUUAGAAUAAACUAACAGAUACACAAGAGCUUAUCAAGCUAGCUCGGUUCAGUGGAGAACUAUAGCAGAAACAGCAGGUUUCUAUUUGGCACAUUUUGGAUUUAUCUGGACGCAAGAGGAUGUGAAAAGAACACCUUUCAGACAAAAGCCAGUCUUGAGUAGGAAUUUAGUGUUCCUUGCCCAAACAGCUUAGUUUGUUUCCCAUUUUGAGUCACUAUCUGAAUCCUUUUUUAUCUCCUAUAUAGAACAAAUUCUCUCCCUCUAUUUAAUAGGCUUUCAGAUAUGAAACAGAGAGAGAGAGAGAGAGAGGAAGGAAGGAAGGGAGGGAGGGAAAGAGAAAGGGAAAGAAGGAAGGAAAAGCUCUAAUUUCUUCUGUUCUUUUGGUAACACACCUCCCCUUCACAUCCUUCAGCUGCUCCCCUUAGGGCUUUUUGUAGACACUUUUGGUGGUCUCUCCUCUCACACACUGCUCACCACUGUACUUUAUUUUGUAUCAUCUGUCUCCAUCCUUUCCCAACUCCUGAGCACUCAGCCUCCUCUGGAUCUUUUCUGGUUCCUUCGCUCCUAGAACUGUGUCUGAUGGCUUAUGAAGGCAAAUGACAAAUGUUUGCCAUAUGCACAUGUAUGUGCAUGAAUGAAUACAUCCAGGUUCUGACUUCCUCGGGGCAACCUCUACUUUCUCAAUGCCCCUCUUAAGAUGGGGGUGGGGGAGGGUCCUCCUAGAACUGAACAUGAUAUUCCAGGUGUGAUCUAAUACAUUUAAAUGUCCAAAAGCUCUUUCUUCCCUAAACGUUCCUUUUUAAAAGCUACUGUUCUCAAUUAAUGGGUGUCUCAUCUUCUUAAGUAUAUUAAUAAGAGGUAUUUUGAUGUUUCCCUCCAUUCUGUGGAUUACCUCUUGAUUCUCUGGAUUCUUUGUGAUUCCGUUUUGUUUUAAGGAUGUUCUCAGGUGUCUGGUGAUCCUUGCUUAUAAGUCCAAAUUAAUGAUGAGGCACUAAAAUGCUGAUUGGAAGCUCUCUGUGCAGGCAGGUAUUGUUGAAUAGUGGUAAACAGGGGACAUGUUCAUUUUGGAGACACUCAAAUAUCAGGACCUAUAAAUCUCUAUGCCAAGUCAGUUUCCCCAGAGUCUCUUAAUAUCAUUUCUUUCAGGUUAAAAGCCUGGUUACCAGGUUCUGGGAGUGAAGGGAGGAGUGGGGCUUAGACAAGGGUGGGGGCGGGGGUAUGUCUCACAAUUCACUAAAUACCUUCUUUUAUAUAUGUGUUCUCUGUGCAGCAUUUUACCCCCACCAUCGUCCAUGUCUGAUGCCUCAGGUUCAAUCUUGUUCAGUCUUUCCAAAGAGGAAACAUUGGUUGGGUGGGAAUGAUUGGCAGGUCGAAGAGAGAAUUUGAAGCUAUAGCUGCUCCUUUUAAAACUUCUAACUCAUCUUUGUUUUUUCAGGCCUUCCUCACACCCAUGUCUUCAGAUACCCAAGGCCUUUAAUACCCAAGUCCUUCCAGGAUUCUGCACAUCUCAUUAGCUUCAUAUUCCCGUAAGUACUUGGGUUUCUGCUUUCUCAGCUCUGAUGUGUCAUUUUCUAAUCAAUCAUCAGCAUUCCAGCUUCCAAAGUUUUGUUCAUAUAUCUUACAUGUGUUGUCUUGACCGACUUCUUUUUGGACCUUAGAUUAUUUACCUAUUUAAAUUCCUUAAUUGUUACUUUAGUGGAGUUUUGGAAGGGAACAAAAAUAUAGGCAGGUGUUUAUCACAUUUAACAAGGAACUCAAAAUUUAUAUUUAAUUCUAUUUAAUCUGGCUGCCUUCUUGCCAUCAGUCUAUUUGAAAAGUUCAUAUGGACCCAGCUCUGUCAUCAUCACAUGUUCUAUAUCCCCAAACCUUGUGACAUCUGCAAAGAAGUACAGAAGACCUCAAGAGAAGAUAAGCUAGAAUUUAUUUAUUUUUAUACCUUUUAUUCAGUUUUUAUUAAAGCUUUCCUACCUUUCCAGAUUGACACAGAAUUAUUCCAUGAAUCUGUCUAUUAAUCCAUUUACAGCAAGUGCUGGGGAUAGAAAUUAAGGUUUAAACAUAUAAUUCCUGCCAUCAAAGGACUCCCUGUUGAUUAGGGGACACAGGCAAGAAAAUAGACAGUAAGUUUGUUAAGGCAUGAACAAAGAACUGUGUUGGUACACACAGUACAGAGAGGAAGUACAAAGAGGAUGGUGCUUAAGAAGAGUUAACACCUAGACCUAAUCUUAGAGGAUGAGGAAGCAUUGGGUAGACUAGAAGACUAGGUGUAGGGGUAAAGGAAGGCAUAUCAGAGAAAAGGGAGCAGCUACAUAGAGGCAAGGACUAUGCCUCUUCUGCCUCUGAAGAGGAGAAAUUUCUUUCAAUCAAUAGAAAGUGCAGGACAAAGGGUACUAAGUCAUCUUUUGAUGGGAUAACUUGAUGUUAGUGUCCUUCCAUGAGAAAAUGGGAAGCAGCCCCUUAUAAUAAAACCUCUGGCUUUUGAAUUACCAAGUAAAACUGAGGUGUCAGCAACCCUUGGCUGAAUGUGGAACUUGCUAAUAGAACCCCUACAUUCAUGGGAAGGGAUAAAAGAGCUUUAAAAAGUACAAAAGCAUUGUGUGAAUAUAUGGGAUUAAUAUUACUACUACAAUAUUGCCUACCACCACCAUCCCCAGCCCUGAGGAGUCUUCUUAAACUUACAAAAUGAAGCUGCUUCUCUAUGGAUGUAGACAUUUCCUGGUUUCAACAUUGCACCAUAGCUAUGCAUUAUGUCAACAUUGGGAAAAGGCAGGGUGGAAGGUGCACAGGAGCUCUCUGUACAUUUCUUUGAAACUUCCUUUAUACCUUUUAAAAGUUAAAAAGCAGCAGCAGUGGCAGCUUCUCAAGGCCAAAGAUGGGGAGCUCUAUUUCAUUUGCAUUUCUACUCAGGGCUAUAAUGAAUUGAACUCAAUGUGUUGCUAAAGAUUAUUAUGAAAUUAAAAUCCAAUUAGGAUGGUCUCGUGGGUCUGGUAAAAGCUUGGAUUAGAGACCAGGCACAACACGGGGUUGGGGGAGAUGGACUGCUCAAUAGAAGUAGGGCUGAGUGGGGAGUUUAAAGCACUGGCCUCUAAGUAUAGGAACCACUGUACAAAUUUUAAAAUAUACUCAGGAUAGUUAAUAUUUGAUCAAAAUCCACUGUGAAGUGAGGAAUUUUUCCUGCUGGGCAUUCUAUUUUCCAGUUCUAUGAUCAAGCCCAGUGACUGGUAAAUACAAUAUGCCCCACUAGCCCCCAGCUUCUCCCAGCUCCUGUUCCCUCCUGGUGCUCAAAGGGAGAAAGGCUAAGAAAUUCCAAGCCCUGGUCAGGAAAGUGAUCUUGAAAUCACACACAAUGAAUAGUGCCAUCACUAAUGACUCAGCUUGUAAAGAACCAGUGAAGUGAGGAAAUUCUUUCUAUGCACAGAAUGUCUAGAUAUUUAGGCAAAAUUGAAGGGGAUGAGGCAGGAAUAACCAGGACAAACUCAGUAAGAACUUCAACCCUGGUUUUCUCAAGAUUCAGUUUAUGUGCUGAUCAUUUUCUCUCAUAUCUAAUUCCCUUACUUCCCCUGCUCUGUUUUACAUCGAAAGUGCUGACUUCAUGCAAAUUACAUGCAAUUUGCAUGUAAUUUGGAAUUUGCUCCCUGGGAAAAUCACUUCUGACUAGGUUCAGCCAAUGGGAGGCACUAACAGGAGAUUGGAGGGUAGGAGGAAGGGAGGCAUAAGGGAAUUUCUUUCCCCUCUCUGUUUCAGGUGGCAUUUCAAGAAUGUCUGUUUUUCCUCCAUGAUUUCUAUAGAUAUUCCUUAAUUUUCAAGUCUCCAUUAGCAUAGGUAUGAAGGUUUCUCAAUGUGCUCUUGCUUUGGCUUCCUUUAGUCAGAAUAGAAAGAGAAAGUUUUUUAACUUUAUUCAAACAUAUUAGGGGUUUGCUAGAGAAUACAUUAUUUGCCCCUAGUUAUCCUGAUGUUAUAAAAGGAGGCAGACCUGGACAAGUGUAAAUUAGCACAGACAUUCUAACAAUCACCAGAAAAAUGCACCCAUAAGUAGUGCCAAUGCAAGAAGUUUUGACUGUAAUGCCCGUGUGCAGUAGGCUGAAUGAUGGCCCCCAAGUAUAUCUAUAUCCUAAUCCCGAGAACUUGUGAAUGUUACUUGCUAUGCUGAAAGGGACUUUGAAGGUGUGAUUAAGGGUUUUGAGAUGGGGAGAUUUUCCUGGAUUAUAUGAAUGUGUCCUAAAUAUAAUCACACAGGUCCAUGUAAGAGGUAGGCAAGGUCAAAGGAGGAAAUAGAAGGUAAGAUAAUGAAAACAAGAGGUUGGAGGGCUGUGAGGAAGGGGGUCACAAGCCAAGAAGCAUAGGUGGCCUAGAGAAGCUAGAAAACACAAAGAAAUGGAUUUCUUAUAGAGUCUUCACGGGGGACUAGCCUUGCUCACACCUUGACUUUAGCCUAGUGAAACUGAUUUCAGACUUCUGGCCUCCAAAACUGUAAGAGAAUAGAACUGUGCUG